UGCUUUUAUCAAUGUCAAUAAACAGGUUGAGACAUUGUUCUACCUGUGGUUUUACAAGAUGUUGGAGAAAACUGGGGAAAGGAUACCUAGGAUUUCUCUGUGUUAUGUCUCACAAAUGCAUAUAAACCACAAGUAUCUGAAAAUAAAAUGUGAAUUUUAGAAAUCCUACCGAGUCCCCUCUGAAUGCAGUCACCUGUACUUGCCGCUUGUACUGACCGUUUGGAUUUUCAGUAUAAGAAAGAAGAAUGCUAUGGAAGAAUGACUGGGAUUUUAAAUUCUGUAAUUGCCUUCCUUAAGAAGAAAUUGGUAAAUUCACCAAAGGACUUGCUAAUGACUGCAGGGAUUUAUUCAUAUCAUUGAUUGGCUUAGUAAGCCCCAGCAAUAACAGGAAAUCAAAGUAAACAAGGUCCCAAUUCAUUUUCUUUUUAUCCCAUAUAGUCUUCCCUAAUCAAAUAGAAAUUAUAUCCUGUGAUUCGUGCUGUUACAAAGAAUGAUCUAUUCCUCCAUUUGAGAAAUGUCCAGUUAAAAUGUAUGUCUCAGGAGUUCCCACUGUGUCUCAGCAGGUUAAGUACCUGAACUAGUCUCCGUGAGGAGGUGGGUUUGAUCCCUGGCCUUGCUCACUGGGUUAAGGAUCCAGCCUUGCCACAAGCUGCAGCUUAUGAAGGCUCAACUGCAGCUCCUAUUGGACCCCUGUUCCAGUAAUUUCCAUAUCCAGGAGGUGCAGCCAUAAAAAAAAUAAAAUAAAAUUGUGUCUCUUUUAUAAAGCACAAUUUGAAGGUCCUCAACUCAACAUUUAGUGAGUGCCGAUUUAUAUGCCAGGCACUACUCUUGAUACUGGAUUUCAAGAGGGGAACCAAGCCAAGCCCAUAGUCUUCUGGCACCCACACAUACCCAUUAAUAAAGCUGCCUAAUAAUUCUCUGCUUGGGUUCAGUCCAAGAAAAAUGUGUCUUUCUGAAUUAUGUUGAAUGGUUGGUUGGUUGGUUUUGUUUCCUUAGUAGAAAGCAAACCAAAAUAAGGAAAAUGCAACUCUGUGAAGAUUGCUUUGCAAAAUAGCUGUCUGGGAGUCUCCUCCAUGCAAGUGUCUGGAAGUAUAUUCUGUUUCUUUCUAGUAGAUUCAUUAUAUUUCAUCAUAUAAACUGCUUCCAGUUCACCUAGAAGAAGAGUGCGUUCUUCCCUUUUCUAGCCUUUAUCUGUUCACAGGCGCGCCUCCUUGGUUAUUCUGUAAGUUCCUGUGUUUGCAUCACCCUGGAGCUGGAAGCAAAGCAGUGAUGGGUUCUAUAGGAACAGAAGGAAAAGCUUAUUACUCUACAGUUUCACUUUGUGACUUAAGAAAAUAACUUCCACUCUGUCCCCUCCCUUCCUUCAUGUAUAUGUGGAGUUCUAGAUAUCAAGCUUCCUUAUGAUUCUGUUUUACUUUUACCAUGUAUCUUUUUUUUUUUUAGAUUCUAAAUUCUAAAUUUAGAUUCUAAAUUCACUCUUGUUCUGCUAGAAACUAUGAUGGAAGAUUGCUUAGGGUACUUCAGACUUCAUUUUUGUCUGACAUAUGGGAUGGGGGGGGGGAAUCCAGUUUCACUGGGACCAUUAUGGAAGCCUAAAGGAAACACACACACACACACACACACAUACACACACACAAAAGAGUGGAGGAAAAAAGGCAUCAUCAUCUCAGCUAUGAUUUUAUAGGCUUGCAUUUUGGAUGGGAUGUUAGGUUAGCUGUCUCUAGGAAUAUUUUACUGUGAAUUUUUGCUAAAUGUAAAUCUGAAGGAUGCCAUAUUCAUUAAGACUGCUUAAGUGAUUUCUGCGACCUAGAAUUGGAUAAGAUGUCUGAUUAUGAAUAAGAAUUUCUUGCAGAGUGCUGUAAAAAGGGUAAUGAGGUGCAGGUGGGUCACUGAAAUCCACCAACAGCAUUGAGUAAAGAACAGUUGACAGACACAUCUGUGUGCGGCAUAGAACUGGAAGCUUUUUCCGAGACUCAUGGUACAGCUUUCACCAGACGUUUUUCUUCAUCUGUAAUAAAAGUGCACUGGUUGUUCCACACUGCCAGUACCUGCGUUACAACAUGGGAUCACGAGUGGAGGGUGGCCAUGGCCGUCCACCUGUGCCUGUUAGGGCUACACCUGAGUCAUCUGAGAGUAACCCAUCCUUCAGCCGGGAUCCCCUUUGACUGCACCAAGGCACUAAACAAAACUCCCUCCUAGUGGAAGGAGAAGGGGGCAGAGAGAAGCAGCCCCUCCUCCCUGUAAUUUUCCCCUCCGGCUGCCAUCCCUCGGUAGGUUCCAUCCUUAACCCCAGUCCUAAUUCUCUAGGUCUUUAUCUGAACUACUUUUAAAUUUAAUUUAAGCAACUAUUUGCUCCAUUAAUCCAUGCAGCCCGUUAGCACACUGUGUGCCUUUACUGUACAAUAUUUCAAAUGAAGUGAAACUUCAAAGCCAUGUGAGAGGUAUGGGAAAAGGGGGGCCUGAUAUAGCCAGAAGGAAGCAAUAAUCUCCCAAGGAUCUCAGCAGGAGAGCUAAACUUAGCGACAGACUUCACUUUCCAUUUAACUUUAAAUGUAUAGCUACUUAGAGCAGCCUGGGACCCUGCCUUGUGUUGCAGAUAAAGCCUUAGGCAUGAGGAGGAGGUCAGAAGGAACAUUCCCCCAUGAUCUCAAGUUCUCUCUCCCUCCCCAGGUUACCAAGGAAAUAGAGAUCUCCAUGUUCUGCUGGCAAAUGUAUAACCUUGACCUUGCAGCAGGAGGUCUCUGGGCUGGGAAGAAAGGAGCAGGUCAAAGGACAAAAGCAGCUGACCCUGCAGUUGACCAAGGGGUUUAGAUCUGAUUUCAGGGUGUCCUCAGGAGUCAGAGGGAACAAGACGAUAUUGCUCCCUCACCUGGUGGGAAUUGAGAUGCAUAAAUGCAUUUCUCUACUUUGACUUUUUGCUCCUGAUUAUGAAGUGGACCUGGAGAGAAGCAGGUGCUCCUGGCAAGUUGGAAGUUGAUUAGCAUUAUCUGACAGCAAGGGUUUUUUGAAAAUGUGGGGGGGAAACUGUAAUUGUAAUGUAUACAUGUAAGGAUAACCUGACCCCCUUGCUGUACAGUGGGAAAAAAAAAAAAAAUAGUUAAGACAUCCAAAUCUAUAUGAAAGGGAGGAAAAACUUUUGUCACAAACCCUCCAUCUGCGAUUAGAAUGACACUUGUCUAGAAAUUAGUCUUUUGAUCCUUGUCACUAACUUCUCUUACUUCCCAUUUCUGGUAAAAUUAAUUCAACGAGAAUUUAUGCUAGGCCUCCCUAGAAAGAACUUACAGUACUUUGGGGGAAAGACUUGAAAGCAUCCCAGAAACAAUUAAACUUGAAAACACAGGAAACAGUACUAAGGAAUGAAUAGUGGAAUGUUUAAAAGAAUUUUAAGAAUUUGGUUGAGGUAGUGUGUCCUGGGGGCAGGAAUUCAGGGCUGUAUACUUAGGAGGAGAAAUUAGGGUUGGCCCAGCGUCUCUGCUGCAAACAUUCGAAAGCUGCAUCUUAGAGAACUACCUGGGGUCAUUUUAGAUGGAUGUAGCCUCAUUUCUGCCCCCCCGGGGGGGGGGUGAGUCACCUGGUUGUUUAUUCAGGGUUUAAAUCUGAAAGCCAUAUUUUUUGUCCAUCACUGUAGAACUGACAAUAACAAUUAGAAUGCUUAAGCGAAAAUCUGUCUUUUCAGUGACUUUGAAGUUGCACUUGGUUUCUUGUUCUCUUGGCCACACUUCACGUGGGGUGUGCAUUGCAUCAUAAACACUCGUGGAAAUAGCCUUCCUACUUUCAGAUUUGUGUGUGGCCUGAUAUUACUGACGCUGUUGUGCAGUUUUUCUGUUCAUAUAAAACCGAGUUAGAUAAAAAGAGAGGCAUUUGAUUGCCCUCAAUCAGGCUCUGGCUUUCACUUGUCAUUAAAUCAGAGGCUUAUUUGAAAUCCGUUAUUGACAGUAACCCAUUCGUAGCCUGCUUAGGUGAUUCUUGAGUUCACGUGUAAUUUCAUGUGUUAUUUGUUCUUCAUGCCCUGCUUCCAUGAUGCGCUCAUUGUUAUGCACCAUUUCUGGGGAGUCUCACCUUGGAGUGUGCUUAGAAAGCUGGCAGAAAACAGAAUUCAGUCUGGGGGUCAGCCAUGUGGAAAUGACAAUGUAAAAACCAAGUGGAAUUUAGAAGUCCAAUUCUUCCUUCCUCACUGAAGAUGGUGACUGCAAUUUAAAACGGCAUCAUUUUAACAUUUUUUAGUUCCUUUACGUAGGAGGGGAUGUAACGCUCAGAGUCAGCCACAUGAUUAAACCUUUUCUAAUUUCCAUCAAAAUUCUCUUUGGACUGAAAAAAAAAAAUUGUGACAACCUCAGGCUGAAAGUGAACUGAAAUCUACAUGUAAAACUAGGUGGGCUGUGUGAAUGUUCCACUUCUCCAUUAGUGGUUAGUGGUUCCACAUGAAUAUAUUGUAACGUGUAUAGACGUAUAUACAUUUGUGCCUAUGAAUGUGUAUUUAUUUUCACAUUGAUCUGCUUGUUCUCUGUGCUGAUUAAAUCUCUCAAGGCGAAAUAGUCAUGUCACACAUUAUUGUAAGUAAACAAAUGUGUAUGUUAAGAUCAUUUCUUACCCAUAUGUCACCUCUAACCUUUGUGUAAAAUGUCUUCUACAUUAGCAUAAAUAUUAAGAGGAUGCCAUUUCUGCUAUAUAUAGGGCUGCCUUCAGCUAAUCAGUUUUUCAUGCAUUUAAAUAGGAAUAUUAGAAUGAUGGUAAUUACUUUAGUUUUCCAUGAAUGAUCCAUCAAGACAUUGCCUUUCACUGGAUGGUAUUGCUCAAGGUAAGUAGGACAGAGUUAAAUUAUUAGCUGGGUUGGAAUAUCUUCAAUGUUUUGUUGGUGACUUUUAAACAAAAUUCAUUUUUAAGCCUAUUAUCUUUUGGAAGAGUAAAUGCACAAGCUACUUUAGAAAGACUCGAGCAAUCUGAGGCAUAUGCAGACUAAGUGAAAUUGUAAUGAAUUGUAAAAUAAGACCUGCUUAUUAAAUGCAUGAGAGACAAAAGACUUGCAGGCAGAGGACAAAACCUCACACACACACACACACACACACACACACACAUACUCACACACACACACGCACACACACUGGAUGAAUAUGGAGAAACUCAUAGGUACUUUUUGAAAAUGCGCCUUUUAUCAAAAUGAUACUUUUCUUCCUUUGCACAAACAUAUUUCCCUGGUUUCACAAAUUACUUUCACAUGUGAACUCCAACUUUAGAAGGUUGAAUUUAAAACAACUUGCAUUGUUAUGCAUUAUACACUUAGAGCUUUAAACUGCCUUUACUCUGCUGGAGUUAGACGUCAUUAAUGAACAAAGAUUUUAAAGUGCCUGGUAGCUGGUGAUUCUGUUUCAGCCAUGUCUACGACUUUGUCUGCAUGGCAGUGUGUGUUUGCACCAAGAUAUCAAAAUAAUUGCAUGUUUUGCUUCAUUGUUUCCUAAAAAUUAGUAGGAAAUUGGAGAAAAUGAUUGGUUUGAGGCUGCAAAAAGCAUAGUCAUUUAAACCUACAAUCCAGAUAAGGGCGGAAAUCUCAACACAUGCUGAAAGCAGCAAAUCUUUAGCUCACCAAGAUAUUUGUUGAACUUAAGCCAGACAAAUAUGUAUUCAAAGAGAAAGAAAAGAAUAAAGGUUGAAGCAUGAUAUUCUCAUCUUAAAAAAAACUUUCCACAAAGUUGUGUGCCUGUACUUGUUUAUACAUACAUGUAUAGAAAUAUACACACAUUCUUGUAAACGCAUAGAAUGAAUAGCACAUACCAGAUGGAUAGCAGUGGUUACCUGCGAGGCUGGGAGCGUGACUU
This 5813-nucleotide long non-coding RNA is filed under the name Sus scrofa (pig). Its description in RNAcentral is "lncRNA (ENSSSCG00000057293.1)". Lineage: Eukaryota; Metazoa; Chordata; Mammalia; Artiodactyla; Suidae. The record is from RNAcentral.